AUUCAUUUUAUUUUUAACAUAGUGAUUAAGUAAAAUCUUUUGGAGGUCCUGUGAGGCCAGAAAGCAGUAAUGUCGAAAUUCUGGCACAAUUCUUGGACUUUUACAUAUACUUCUUCUCCACCUUUGCAGACUGUUUUCAGUCUGAAAGUAUUCAAUUCUUGUGUGUUAAAAAAAUAAAUUUCUAUUGACAUGAAAUGAACAUGGAAGUGUCUUUGGGAGGUAAAUUAGAAAAGGCCUUGUACUGGGGAAGGAUUUCAGAUGUAAUCUGAUAAAGAAUAAAGGGUCAUUUAAGGUUCUUCAGCAGGGAUACUUAUAUGAGUAGAGACUUGCUUUAGAGUUGGUAAGACUGGAAUAGAAGGAGGCAAGCCUGGAAGGCAGGAGGCUGAUUCAGGACCUACUGCCUAAAACAAAGAUGAUGAGGUCUUACAAUCUUUCUGUACUUUUUCUGCAAUGAUCCCUGAGAAGCUGGGGGGCAAAAGUUUGACAUAGGUAUCUUAUUUAGGGAUAAACAGUCUACAGUCUCUUACUCUCUGAACAUUGGCCAGUUGUGGUUCUCUGUUACUUCUAUGAAAUCACAACAAUGCUGACAGAAUGGAUAAGUCCCAUGUAAGCUCAAGCCAAACAAAUUUCCUACACAGACAUGGGGAAGUGAGGAAGAACCCCCAGCCCUAACUGAAGAAUUGUUUGCAACUGAUGACUGCUGGUAAGGGAAAAUGCAGUCUCUUUUAAGGGUGAGACUUUUAGUAGGUAGACCUGGCUCCAACCAAUGAACCCACACUGAAGGGUAUUUGGGGAUAUAAGGUUGACUCUACAGUUCUACAUUAUGUAUGAGUACAGAAAUUUGGUGGGAGAUUAGAAAUAGGGAGUACAAACAUAGGAAGGAAUCAAAAUAAGAUCAAAAUACAUUGUAUGAAAUUCACAAAUUUAAAAAAUAAAAAGCUGAUAGAGACCUGUAGUCAAAGUGAUGGAGGCAAGGAAGAAAGGAAAUUCUCAGGAGAAAUCUGGAGAAAGCAGUGAAAACUUCAGGUACCUGACCAAAUGUGGGCACUGGAGGAAAAAGAAACUGGUUGUUGACAUCAUGUGAUCACUAGCCUUCGGGGCCAGAGACAGGGUUACUAUGGUCCACUUGGACAGGGAAGAGGAAAAUAUAUUUGAAGAUGUCUGGGUUAAUUUUGUUUGGUUUUGUUUUUAUAUACAGGAAUCUGAAAUGUGAGUUACCUGAAGAGGAUCUAUGGAAAAUGAAAUUUAGGAAGUUAGAUAUACAUAGUAAGAGGUCAGAACACUGACUCUAAAGAGACAAAUAUUUCCUUCCAGCUUUUUCUUCAAGGCAAAUCAAAAUUUAUUCAAAACACAGAGAAGAAAAGGACUGGCAUUCAUUUGAACCUUUUAGGUCACAUCCCUUGUAACCAUGAGGAUUAGAACUACUUAUUAAUCAGGUUUUUUUGGCAUUAGAGAUGAACCUCAGCAAUUAUGCCAAUAAGUUUCACCAAUAAUGUUCUUCCCCUAAAUGUAUGCAAAUGUUAUCAACAGUAGAGAUGGUGAUUUUGAAAACAUAAUAAUAAUGAUAAUAGCCACAAAUAAACUAGAUGGUGGAUAAUUGUGUCAAUUAUAAAAGGCCAACAUUGGUGUUCACCAAGAGCAAAGACAUAUGGAUUAAAAAAUAUCAAAUGAAUUGAAGAAGUAUAUUAGAAAAGCUUAUUAAGUAGGUGUCUACUGAUUGAUGAGUACAAUAAGAUUAAUGAGAACUUAAAAACAAUAGAUCUUUAUUCAAAUAUGCUCUACCAUGUUUACUGAUGUGUUUAGCUGCUUAUUUAACAUCUUUUAGUUCCCCUUUAUGUGUCUGAUAAUCAGUUAAACGCUGAGUAUACACUCUGAAGUGAUGAAAAUGGUCUGUGGACAAAAAGUGAAAAUGGCCAUUCAAACUAUUGACAAGUGUUCUAAGAGAAUUAUGCCCCACAGUUGAAAGGGAACAGAACUGAGUGAGGAGGAGGCGAAGCACCUUGAGGGCAUGGUUCUUGACCUGUGCCUUGAAGCACCAGGAGAAAGCUGGUCUGAGUAAGGUUCUAGACAGAGAAGCUGACAUGAAAGAUGAAAAGAUGAAAACCAAUGUGGACCACGUAAAGAAUUCUGAAUGCUUGGUUCUACAUGAUAACAAGACAUGAGUUGGUAAAUGAGUAAAGAUCAGGUGCAAAUGAACAAUGAACUUGAGGAUACUGUAACCUUAAGAAUUUACCUCUUGACCCAUUCCUCUGGAGAAAGUAGGCUGAACUGGACUUACUGACAAAAUUUUUCUUGAGUAUUAGAAUACUGAAACCAUUAAAUUACGUUCCCUCAACAUCUUCAGAUACAAGUCCCCAUAAUAACAUUUGGAAUGGUUCAAUUAAGAUCAUUCUAGAAACAAACAUUCUCAAAUCCAAGAUGAGAUAUCAGCUUUAUUGCCCUGUUUGUUCAUCUCCCUCAAAUUUCCUUCAGGAAAUGACAGGCACCAUUAGAGAGUAGAUUGUAUUCCCAGAAACUGUCUCGGCUGCCACCGGUGCCCAGCAGCCUCAGCAAUGCAUGUUUCCUGGAAGAGCAUUUCAUUGUCAGAAGUGCUGACUGUCUCAGACAACCGUGGGGCCAGCCAGGAAAUUUACAGGAAGAGCCACUGCAUGGUUCAGCUCUAAUAGGCUCCUAACAAGAAGUUUUCUACAAGCUACAAUUUCAGCCAGAACCAGAAGGAAGAUGACAUUAUGAACAGAACUGUUGAAUGGAGGCAACCAGUCCUCUCUAACCACGUGCAACCCAUACCAUCAUUGAAUGCAUGUUAAGUCUCUGAGCUAAGAGAUAAAAACAACCUAAAUAUCCCUCAACUGACGAGUGG
Long non-coding RNA from Nannospalax galili (Upper Galilee mountains blind mole rat), 2860 nucleotides. RefSeq lists it as uncharacterized. The record is from RefSeq and is a predicted model, not a curated record. NCBI's taxonomy places the organism in Eukaryota, Metazoa, Chordata, Mammalia, Rodentia, Spalacidae. The transcript has 3 exons.